CAAUAGCCACGGUAAUACGGAGGGUGCAAGCGUUAUCCGGAUUUAUUGGGUUUAAAGGGUCCGUAGGCGGAUCUGUAAGUCAGUGGUGAAAUCUCACAGCUUAACUGUGAAACUGCCAUUGAUACUGCAGGUCUUGAGUAAAUUUGAAGUGGCUGGAAUAAGUAGUGUAGCGGUGAAAUGCAUAGAUAUUACUUAGAACACCAAUUGCGAAGGCAGGUCACUAAGAUUUAACUGACGCUGAUGGACGAAAGCGUGGGGAGCGAACAGGAUUAGAUACCCCGGUAGUCCCUGUCUCUUAUAU
RNAcentral lists this ribosomal RNA (301 nucleotides) under uncultured bacterium. RNAcentral describes it as "partial 16S ribosomal RNA". It matches the Rfam family "Bacterial small subunit ribosomal RNA", at positions 509 to 809 of the family's 1533-position model. The record is from RNAcentral.